UAAGGAAUAUUGGUCAAUGGACGCAAGUCUGAACCAGCCAUGCCGCGUGAAGGAUGAAGGUCCUCUGGAUUGUAAACUUCUUUUAUAGGGGGCGAAAAAAGGGAAAUCUUUCUCACUUGACAGUACCCUAUGAAUAAGCACCGGCUAACUCCGUGCCAGCAGCCGCGGUAAUACGGAGGGUGCAAGCGUUAUCCGGAUUCACUGGGUUUAAAGGGUGCGUAGGCGGGCGUAUAAGUCAGUGGUGAAAUCCUGGAGCUUAACUCCAGAACUGCCAUUGAUACUAUAUGUCUUGAAUAUGGUGGAGGUAAGCGGAAUAUGUCAUGUAGCGGUGAAAUGCAUAGAUAUGACAUAGAACACCUAUUGCGAAGGCAGCUUACUACGCCUAUAUUGACGCUGAGGCACGAAAGCGUGGGGAUCAAACAGGAUUAGAUACCCUGGUAGUCCACGCCCUAAACGAUGAUUACUCGACGUGUGCGAUAAACGGUACGCGUCUGAGCGAAAGCAUUAAGUAAUCCACCUGGGGAAGUACGACCGCAAGGUUUGAAACUUAAAGGAAUUGAC
RNAcentral lists this ribosomal RNA (561 nucleotides) under uncultured bacterium. RNAcentral describes it as "partial 16S ribosomal RNA". It matches the Rfam family "Bacterial small subunit ribosomal RNA", at positions 355 to 914 of the family's 1533-position model. The record is from RNAcentral.